AUUGAACGCUGGCGGCAUGCUUUACACAUGCAAGUCGAACGGCAGCGCGGGCUUCGGCCUGGCGGCGAGUGGCGAACGGGUGAGUAAUACAUCGGAACGUGCCCAGUAGUGGGGGAUAGCUCGGCGAAAGCCGGAUUAAUACCGCAUACGACCUGAGGGUGAAAGCGGGGGAUCUUCGGACCUCGCGCUAUUGGAGCGGCCGAUGGCAGAUUAGCUAGUUGGUGGGGUAAAGGCCUACCAAGGCGACGAUCUGUAGCUGGUCUGAGAGGACGACCAGCCACACUGGGACUGAGACACGGCCCAGACUCCUACGGGAGGCAGCAGUGGGGAAUUUUGGAUAAUGGGCGAAAGCCUGAUCCAGCAAUGCCGCGUGUGUGAUGAAGGCCUUCGGGUUGUAAAGCACUUUUGGCGGGAACGAAAAGGACUGUGCCAAUACCACGGUUCGAUGACGGUACCCGCAGAAUAAGCACCGGCUAACUACGUG
RNAcentral lists this ribosomal RNA (484 nucleotides) under uncultured bacterium. Its description in RNAcentral is "partial 16S ribosomal RNA". It matches the Rfam family "Bacterial small subunit ribosomal RNA", at positions 29 to 507 of the family's 1533-position model. The record is from RNAcentral.